UACGUAGGGGGCAAGCGUUGUUCGGAUUCAUUGGGCGUAAAGAGCGUGUAGGCGGCCAGAUAAGUCCGCUGUGAAAUCUCGAGGCUCAACUUCGAGCUGUCGGUGGAAACUGUCUGGCUAGAGUCCGGAAGAGGAGAAUGGAAUUCCUGGUGUAGCGGUGAAAUGCGCAGAUAUCAGGAAGAACACCCGUGGCGAAGGCGGUUCUCUGGGACGGUACUGACGCUGAGACGCGAAAGCGUGGGGAGCGAACAGG
This 253-nucleotide ribosomal RNA is filed under the name uncultured bacterium. RNAcentral's name for it is "partial 16S ribosomal RNA". It matches the Rfam family "Bacterial small subunit ribosomal RNA", at positions 524 to 776 of the family's 1533-position model. The record is from RNAcentral.